This is a non-coding RNA of Caenorhabditis elegans, 142 nucleotides long. The record is from Ensembl. NCBI's taxonomy places the organism in Eukaryota, Metazoa, Nematoda, Chromadorea, Rhabditida, Rhabditidae.
GAAAAGAGGCACUGCGAACAGAAUGAAUCGAUCGAUAGUACGCUUGCGCGAAGAGAUGCGGAGAAGGAGUGUGCCGCAAGAAGAGAACGCAGAGAGAAGCGACGUUAGGUGGGUAAACUAGGUAGACAACACCAAUUUGCUU